Molecule: non-coding RNA, 72 nt
Organism: Ornithorhynchus anatinus (platypus)
Lineage: Eukaryota; Metazoa; Chordata; Mammalia; Monotremata; Ornithorhynchidae
Source: Rfam
AGCAGUGUGGCUCAGUGGAAAGAGCACGGUCUUGGGAGUCAGAGGUCACGGGUUUGAAUCCCGGCUCUGCCA